Rosa chinensis is the source of this 256-nucleotide RNA transcript. RefSeq lists it as uncharacterized. The transcript is spliced from 3 exons. The record is from RefSeq and is a predicted model, not a curated record. Lineage: Eukaryota; Viridiplantae; Streptophyta; Magnoliopsida; Rosales; Rosaceae.
CAUUUACACUAGUCAUGCUUUUCGCUUUGGGGGGCUUUGUCCUGUCAAGAGAAAAUAUAAAGAAAUGGUGGAUAUGGGGCUACUGGAUAUCACCUUUGAUGUAUGGGCAGAAUGCAAUUGUAGUUAAUGAAUUCCUUGGCAAGAGUUGGUCACAUGUUCUUCCAAACUCAAACGAAUCAUUAGGAGUUGAAAUUCUGAAAUCUCAUGGAUUUCGUACGCAUGCAUAUUGGUAUUGGAUUGGCGCAUGAGCAUUGGC